This 499-nucleotide ribosomal RNA is filed under the name uncultured bacterium. RNAcentral describes it as "partial 16S ribosomal RNA". It matches the Rfam family "Bacterial small subunit ribosomal RNA", at positions 29 to 523 of the family's 1533-position model. The record is from RNAcentral.
AUUGAACGCUGGCGGCAUGCCUUACACAUGCAAGUCGAACGCGCAAGGGGGGCAACUCCUGAGUAGAGUGGCGCACGGGUGAGUAAUGCAUCGGAACGUGUCCUGUAGCGGGGGAUAACCUAGCGAAAGCUAGGCUAAUACCGCAUACGUCCUACGGGAGAAAGUGGGGGAUCGUAAGACCUCACACUAUAGGAGCGGCCGAUGGCGGAUUGGCUAGUUGGUGGGGUAAAAGCCUACCAAGGCGACGAUCCGUAGCUGGUCUGAGAGGAUGAUCAGCCACACUGGGACUGAGACACGGCCCAGACUCCUACGGGAGGCAGCAGUGGGGAAUUUUGGACAAUGGGGGAAACCCUGAUCCAGCCAUGCCGCGUGAGUGAAGAAGGCCUUCGGGUUGUAAAGCUCUUUCGGCCGGGACGAAAUCGCACGCGUGAAUAUCGCGUGUGGAUGACGGUACCGGAAGAAGAAGGACCGGCUAACUACGUGCCAGCCGCCGCGGUAA